Molecule: RNA transcript, 3341 nt
Organism: Fundulus heteroclitus (mummichog)
Lineage: Eukaryota; Metazoa; Chordata; Actinopteri; Cyprinodontiformes; Fundulidae
Exons: 3
Source: RefSeq, a predicted model, not a curated record
UUCUGAUGUAUGUCUACUGCGCUGCUGGCAUUGGUGCAUUCGUCAUCAUCGUGAUUAUUCUAUCUGUGAUAUGCAUGCAGGGAUGCAAAAGGAAAUCAAAGAAAGACAAAGGAACAGAAAAUCAGUACAUGGAGAUUCCCUUGGCUGAGCAAGGCGCCCUAAAUGCCACGGGGCUCCAACAUUCACCAAGAGGAAACUCUAACCCGCUGCCGUCUCGUAGGACCAGUGAGAGAAAAACCACAGCUCCACCUCCAGAGCCGAGGAUCUCAGGAGAUAACGUCCAGCUUUACGGCCAGGUGGUACAGGACAGAAAGAGACUGAGGAAUGCAACUCAGGCGGGUGAAGCCAAUGCCAAUGUUGUGUACGCUUCUCUGAACCACGGGCCGGCACCAAGAGAGGUGACCCGGCCACAUCGGCAGAUGGAGGAGACAGAGUACGCAGCUAUACGUUUGACAUAAAGACGGAAGGUCUGCUGGAUUAAAUCACACUAGUUUCCUUUCCAGAGGAGCACUGGAGGGAUUCAUCACAGCAAGGAGUCUAGAAAUAGACAAAUUAUCACUUCCUUUACAUUUUGGAAACACCGAUCUUUCUUACAACAGAGUACGUUCAUGGAUUUCCCUCAUCAGCGUCACUGGAUGUGUGUGAUUUCUGCUGUCUUUCUGCUGGGGAUAAAGUCAUUUCCAGCUGAAGCCAAACUGAGAGCAUCGACGUCACAGCAAACAAUGUGGAGUAAAAAGCAUGUUUCACGUUCUUCAUAAGGGAAACCAAAAGGAAAAUGGACCGUAUCUCUUUUCAAUGAUUGUUAACCAAAAGGAAGUCAACACUUAUCUAAGUCCCUCCACCCCGAACUUCAUUUUUGUACCCUUCUUCCGCCCUUGGUGCUAAACUACAAGAAGUACACCGCAACAGUUAAAUGAAGAGCGGCAUGAGAUGAAUAAGUAGGUUAUCCCACCACUUUAUAUACAAAAGCAGUGUUACAGAAAUCAGUCAGCGUUUCCUCAGAAAACAUUUUAACAACCACAACUGAGCCGAUGGGGCUAGCUAACCGUAGCCUCUAAGCUAGCCCCUAAGCUAGCCCCUCGGCUAACAGCCUUUGCUGGAUGGUUUCACAGUAAAAGAAAGAGCUAAAUGAACCACAAACUAUUAUUUUAUACUUAUUUCUAAAGAUUGUUUUAUUUUUUUGUUUUCCUUCAUUAGGGACUUAAGAUCUACAAAAAGCAAGUGUGCUAUUUGUGUGCUAUAAUUAUUUAUUGUGAGCACAAAAUGACACCAAAAAGUUAACACAUUUUUCAAAAAUAUCCAUAGGUUGUCAUGUUUUACUUUCUUUAUUAGGAAAUGUUGGGUAUAUUAUGAUACAUGACCUAGCAGGUACAUUUGGAAAAUAGUUGACAAAAAGUAGCUACCUUGAAUGUCAGAGAAACAUAAUGGUAACUAAUGAUAGCCUAUUGUGUAUUAAAUUAGAUUAAAAAAAGAUAAAGAUGUGAACUAGAUGUGAACCAAUUAAACUAAUAGGAGUCUUAUAUGCCACAGGGCUCCAAUUCUGCUACACAACUAUGUAAAAUACACAUUAGUGGUAUAGUGGUAUUAUUCAUUAGGUGCUGGUUAUGUCACCCUUUUCCAUUAAGUAUGUUUACAGUUUUGCUCAUUUUACCCGAAUACUUCUAGUUUGAAAAGAUCUGUCCGCCACAGGAAGCUUUGUAGCCACCAGGCGUCAAUUUGUACCCACCUUUGUGACACUUCGAACCAGUUUGACAACCAAUUAUUUAAGUUAGCUUCAAUAACCUACUCCUUGCCUAGUGUAAGGGUUAUGUUAUUUCAACAAAUAAUAGCUUCUGCUUCAAUAAAGCAGAAGAUUAUUAGAUUAUUCUUACCUCGAGAGAUUAUUCUUACCUCGAGGAGAUUUUGGUACAAAGCAAUCUUUGAAUUUUACCAACAUGUUUCAUCUGACUGGAAGAAAUAUUAAAAUGUUGACAGAAAAUCUGUGGAGGGAACUUUGGAUCAGGGUGAUGGCAGAGAGACAUUUCCAGUCUUAAAAGCUUAAAGCUCAUCAAAAAAAAGGAAUCUUGAAAAACCCAGUGGAAACAUGCAACAUACUAGCCAGGACUAAUAUAAAAAGAUUAGAUUAUAAUGCCGACAAAGCACUGAUUAUUAAGAAUGGUGCCAAUAACUUUUUUGACCUGUAAUUUUAAGACAAACUGUAAUUCAAAACAGAUAAACUGUGUAUUUAAAAAAAAAUUACUCCUUUGACAUAGUUAAGUCACUGUUGGAGAGAUGCCUGCCUCAUUUUCUGUCAGAAAAAAACUUCUUGGUUGAAUAAUUUUGGUCCUAAAUGUGUGUGACUUCAAUCAAUAUCAAAUUAUUUUGGUUGAAUUAAAGGUCAUUGUCUAUUAUAUUUCAUGACACUUAACUGGUCAAAACAGGUAUCAGAUCCACAGCUUUAAGCCGACAUUAUUAGCAUCAUAUUAAUCAGCGUGACUAGGAUGUACAAAAUAAAUCUAGUUAUAGGUGAGAUAUGAGCUUUUAUAUAUCAAAUACUUAACUAUUUAGAUAACUAAACUGGGACCCAUUUUUAAAAAGUAUGGGUGCAAAGAUAGUACAAACUGAAAGUAGCUCGGGACAAACGGCAGCAAAUGGGUACAUAAUGAGGACAUGGAUUGGCAAAAGGGUGAGUUGAUCUUGAAACUUUUAAACUAAACUAAUAUUGUUUCAUCCGGUGACCAUAUUUAUUUCUACAGGAACACCAGAGUUGUAUCUGUUUUUCUACUGGUAACAGUCGCCAUUGAAUGUAGUUUUUCCUGCUGUUUGACUCUCCUAUGAAGCAAGUACAAACUUUCCAAAGCUGUUUCUUGGACUUUUUUUCUUUAAAUAAGGACAUUGUGUGUUUACGUGUGUGUACCAGCAAACAGUGAUUCACAUCUUUGACAAUAAUGAAUGCAAUCAGAGUUUUCAAACUGAGCCUGCAAACUAUUACGUGACUUCUCCGCAGCGGAGGCACAACAACUGUUGCUCUUCCGCAUGUUUUGCACUUACUUUGAGUUAAAGGUGAUUUUGUUGCAUGUGCAUGACUUGAAAAAUCUUUAUUUGGAACAAUUUCAAUCAUUUCAGGUAUUGUAGCCUUGUACGAUAUCAGAUGAGUCAUUUUCUGACUUUUUGUAUGACUGCAAAAUUUUAUUCUGAUUUAUGAUUGCGAUUCCUUAGGAAGGUAGAAUGUAAUCCUAAUCACUGCGUGCAAUAAAGUAAUGUAUAUUUGUGUGCAAUGAAAUAAUGUACAUUUAAAACUUUGGAUUUGAUCACGUGGAGUUGAGUCCCCUUUCUAUGGUAAUUUUGAACAUUUCCUUAAA